Molecule: non-coding RNA, 2422 nt
Organism: Heterocephalus glaber (naked mole-rat)
Lineage: Eukaryota; Metazoa; Chordata; Mammalia; Rodentia; Bathyergidae
Source: RefSeq, a predicted model, not a curated record
GCUGACAAGGGAGAGGGGGCGGCUGGGGUGUCGGUUCGUUCCCAUCACCAGGCCUCUUCCCUUACAAUACAACCCAGAUCAGACCGGACAAGUCAACUGUCUAUCAGUCUUUGGAUCCAUGGCGGUGAUUUUACAGCAUCAGAGAAAUGGCAUCUUGUUUAUGGAAAACGGACUUGGAUCGCUCUUAAGAUCCCCCCUCCACCCUGGCUGCUGGCUGUGUCCCUGCUUCAGCUUGGCACUGGGACCCAGGAGACUGCUCUCGCCCCUCCCCAACCCCACAUCUGCCUGGAACCGGAGGUGUGGCCUGAGGAAACUGGCUGGGCUUUUGCAGGUCUUGGGGAUAGGAGGUGCUGGAGUAGUCAGAGAUGAUUCUCAUUAGGCCUGUAAUGCCUGGUGGCAAUUAAUGUCACCCAAGGGCUUAUUACCCAUCCCACUGAGAGGCAAACCAGCAAUCAGGCUGUGUGUGGGAGAAGGGGAAAGGAGCAACCUCCUGAGGCAGGGAGGGCUCUAGAAGGGGGCAGGAAUUGGGGAGUGGUCCUUUUAUCCCUGCCCACUUGCCUCAUUGGAAGAGACCCAAAACUGAGGUUGGUCGGAAAGAAGGUAGAAAGCAAGGUUGUUUCUUCAGUGAUACUGACCAAAGAUGUUCAUCUUCACAGUACUUCAAAGCUGCCCAGGAGCCUGAAGGUCCUCGGCUUCAGCCCGUUCCCCUGGCCAUCUCUGAAAACUGGCAGGGUCUUCUCUGGUUAGGUCGUCCAGUGACUCAGACACGGGCUUCUCUCUGCCCUGACUUCAUUUCUCUUCCUUCCUCCCUUCCUUUUAUACCAGCACUGAGUAUCUCCAGCAUCACAGGCAUUAUUGGCCCAACAGUGAGCAAGAGAGAAGUACCCCUUGCCUCAUGAAUUCCCACUCUAGAGGAGAAGGCAGAACACAGAGCUUCUACCCAGAGAUGGCUAUGACUCCUGGUGUUGCAUGCUUUUGCUCAUCUUAAGAAGACCUGUGUCAGGAAGGGCAAGGGAACCGUGAUUUCUGCCCUGCUCUUCCUGUACCUGCCGUGUGGACCUGCCCUUCAUGGACUGGGGCCCCCUGCUGGGUUAAACUCCCAGCUCAGAUUCCAGGACCCUACUUUAUCCACAAGUAAGGAGAAUGUCAGUGGAAGGCCAGCUUGUGGAUUUCCCAGGUAGAGACCUGGCUCUAGUUCCUGUAAGGCAAGGUGACUGGACUAGUCUGGGCAGGCUGCCAUAACAGCCCACCACAGACUGGGUGACUUAAACAAUGAGAGUUUACUUCCCACAGUUCUGGAGGCUGAAAGUCCACGAUCAAGGUGUCAGCAGGGCUGAUUUCCCCAAGGCCUCUUUCCUUGGCUGCCAGGUGGUUGCCCUCCUGCUGUGUGUUCGCAGAGUCAUUUCUCUGAGCUCAUGAAUUCCUGGUGUCUCUUCCUCUUUUCAUAAGGACACCAGUUGUAAUGGAUUAGGGUCCCAUGCUGUUGGCCCCAUCUCAAUGCAAUGACCUCUUUAAAGACAUUAUUUCAAAUAUGCUUAACAUGCUGAGUUACUUACUGAAUAUUGGGACUUCAACAUAUCAAUUUUACGGGGACAUAAUUUAGCACAUAACAGUGACUAUAAUUUACCAUCCAAAACUGGGAUUUUUUUUGAGAGUAGAAAGGGCUGCUGUUCAUAAUUACCUUGGAACAGCUGCCUUAAGUGAGUACACUGGAACAUACGGCCACCUGAAAUUCAUAUCCUGUCACUCACUCUGCAGCCCUACUUUAAACCACCUCAUCUAUCUCAAGACCUGAGCACAUUACCUUCUGCUGCUCAGUUUCUCUCUGCAUCCUGAGCACCUAGUCACCACUGCACAGUUUGUCCCCUGCCCUCAUCCCCACCAGGUUCUCAGAGAUGGCAGAGGCAGGAGGGCAGACCCGUGGGGCUGUGUUGCAUGGUAGCCAUGAGUGCUGUCCAGAGGAAAACAUGAGGCCAGGGGCUUCUGGUCAGCCUAGAUCACGGAAGUGGCAGGACAGGGAAGGCUUCCUGGAGGAGGUGAUUUCUGAGCUACACUGAAGGAGGGACAAGUGUAGGCCUGGGACGUGACAAGAAGAGGGAGUGGAGACUAGGCAGAGUUGCUUUCCAUAAGAGGGCUGGGUGUGCCAGGUACUAUGGAUGUGUCCUCCUAGCUGGGGCCCUGAGAGCUGGGGUGGAGCUAGAGAAGGAGGCUAGAGAGGCCAGCAGGCCACUGUCCCCUGAACAGAGUCCCCCCCGCCAGGUCUAUGCCUGUGAUGACAUGCACACUGGGGUUACUGCACUUAUUCAUGCAGAGCUUCACAUGCAAGAGCCAAAGACACUAGGAAGCUUAUAAAGCAUCUUGCCAGUCAUGCAUAUACAACACAUGUCCAUGUGUACACACACACACACACACACACACACAC